Molecule: ribosomal RNA, 253 nt
Filed under: uncultured bacterium
Lineage: Bacteria
Description: partial 16S ribosomal RNA
Rfam family: Bacterial small subunit ribosomal RNA
Source: RNAcentral
UACAGAGGGUGCGAGCGUUAAUCGGAAUUACUGGGCGUAAAGCGCGCGUAGGCGGUUUUGUAAGUCAGAUGUGAAAGCCCCGGGCUUAACCUGGGAACUGCAUUUGAGACUGCAUGACUAGAGUAUUGGAGAGGGCAGUGGAAUUUCCGGUGUAGCGGUGAAAUGCGUAGAUAUCGGAAGGAACAUCAGUGGCGAAAGCGACUGCCUGGCCAAAUACUGACGCUCAUGUGCGAAAGCGUGGGGAGCAAACAGG